UGGGGAAUUUUGCGCAAUGGACGAAAGUCUGACGCAGCGACGCCGCGUGUGCGAUGAAGGCCUUUGGGUCGUAAAGCACUGUCGACCGGGACGAAAACUCACGGACUAAUACUUCGUGAGUCUGACGGUACUGGUAAAGGAAGCACCGGCUAACUCUGUGCCAGCAGCCGCGGUAAUACAGAGGCCCCAAGCGUUAUCCGGAAUCACUGGGCGUAAAGGGUGUCGAGGCGGUCAUGUUAGUCGUUCGUAAAAUCCGUGGGCUCAACCUACGGCCGGCGAGCGAAACGGCAUGACUUGAGGUUUGGAGAGGUGCGUGGAACUCACGGUGUAGGGGUGAAAUCCGUUGAUAUCGUGGGGAACACCAAAGGCGAAGGCAGCGCACUGGCCAAAAUCUGACGCUCACACACGAAAGCUAGGGUAGCGAACGGGAUUAGAUACCCCCGUAGUCCCUGAGCGGGCUGGCAAGGCGCAU
RNAcentral lists this ribosomal RNA (472 nucleotides) under uncultured bacterium. RNAcentral's name for it is "bacterial SSU rRNA". It matches the Rfam family "Bacterial small subunit ribosomal RNA", at positions 355 to 825 of the family's 1533-position model. The record is from RNAcentral.